GAUGAACGCUGGCGGCGUGCCUAAUACAUGCAAGUCGAGCGAACAGACGAGGAGCUUGCUCCUCUGACGUUAGCGGCGGACGGGUGAGUAACACGUGGAUAACCUACCUAUAAGACUGGGAUAACUUCGGGAAACCGGAGCUAAUACCGGAUAAUAUAUUGAACCGCAUGGUUCAAUAGUGAAAGACGGUUUUGCUGUCACUUAUAGAUGGAUCCGCGCCGCAUUAGCUAGUUGGUAAGGUAACGGCUUACCAAGGCAACGAUGCGUAGCCGACCUGAGAGGGGGAUCGGCCACACUGGAACUGAGACACGGACCAGACUCCUACGGGAGGCAGCAGUAGGGAAUCUUACGCAAUGGGCGAAAGCCUGACGGAGCAACGCCGCGUGAGUGAUGAAGGUCUUCGGAUCGUAAAACUCUGUUAUUAGGGAAGAACAAAUGUGUAAGUAACUAUGCACGUCUUGACGGUACCUAAUCAGAAAGCCACGGCUAACUACGUG
This 497-nucleotide ribosomal RNA is filed under the name uncultured bacterium. RNAcentral's name for it is "partial 16S ribosomal RNA". It matches the Rfam family "Bacterial small subunit ribosomal RNA", at positions 28 to 507 of the family's 1533-position model. The record is from RNAcentral.